AUAAAGGCUUGAGCCUCGCGCCCUCCCAUUCUUUCCCGUGGGCGCCGUGGGUUGAGGUCGUGUCCUCGCUGGGCCCCCAGCCUCCGGCGGUGCCUGGCCUCUCCCGCCCCGGCGGAAGGUGCGAACCCCCCCAGACCUACUUCUCCCUGCAGGGCGGCGGGUGACCCGACUGGAGGCCCUGAUCCAGAGUCCAGGAGGAAAUUGGCCCAAGACACUCAGAGUUGGAGACAAAGGGCUUUGUGGGAGUAGAGCCCUGAGAAGACCACACUGCCGGAGCUGGACUACACCCGCCAGGUCACUUGGAGAUGUUCUGCUUCUUCCUGGGUCAUUGGACUGCCAGGACAUGGCAAGCUACCUGUUCCUUGUUCAUCCCUGGCCAUCUGCCUGCACAGGGCGCCCACUUGUUUUUCCCUGGAUCUUUCCUGAGAGCUGGCUCUGCGCUGGAUGUGAUCCUCCCUCAGCCCUAAGACAUUGGCUUGCUAUUUCUAUCACACAGAUGAGCACAGUGAGGGAUCUGGGUGCCCCUUCAUGCCUGGGUGAAUAGCAGAGCUGCAGGAUGUCCCACAGUGACCCUGCUUGGACUCUCCCAGUGAGAGGUAGCAGGACAUGGGCCAAGCGCUUGUGGGUUUAGUUGUUUCCAGCUGGUUUAAGCAGAGAGAACACAGAAAGGAAGUAGUGCAGCCUUGGGAUGCAGCCUGCCCCUGGGUCUCAGGACAGUGGACAGGAGCCUUGCCCAUGUGCGAGUCUGGGGACUUCUCCCUGAGACCACUGGCCAGCCUAGGUUAGGCAUCCAUCCACCAGUGGCCCAACAGUAGAACAAUUUUAUUACUUUUUCAUUAAAAGUUGAGAUACAAUUUACAGGGCAGGGGAUCCCUGGGUGGUUCAGCAGUUUAGCACCUGCCUUUGGUCCAGGGCCUGUUCCUGGAGCCCCAGGACCGAGUCCC
Canis lupus familiaris (dog) is the source of this 944-nucleotide long non-coding RNA. RefSeq lists it as uncharacterized. NCBI's taxonomy places the organism in Eukaryota, Metazoa, Chordata, Mammalia, Carnivora, Canidae. The record is from RefSeq and is a predicted model, not a curated record. The transcript has 3 exons.